AGAGUUUGAUCCUGGCUCAGGAUGAACGCUAGCGGCAGGCUUAACACAUGCAAGUCGAACGGUAACAGAUCUAGCUUGCUAGAUGCUGACGAGUGGCGCACGGGUGCGUAACGCGUAUGCAAUCUACCUAUAACUGAGGAAUAGCCCAGAGAAAUUUGGAUUAAAACCUCAUAAUAUUAUUAUUUGGCACCAUUUAAUAAUUAAAACUCCGGUGGUUAUAGAUGAGCAUGCGUUCUAUUAGCUUGUUGGUGAGGUAAAAGCUCACCAAGGCAACGAUAGAUAGGGGGCCUGAAAGGGUGAUCCCCCACACUGGUACUGAGACACGGACCAGACUCCUACGGGAGGCAGCAGUGAGGAAUAUUGCACAAUGGAGGAAACUCUGAUGCAGCCAUGCCGCGUGCAGGAUGACGGCCCUACGGGUUGUAAACUGCUUUUUUACAAGAAGAAACCUUGGUACGUGUACCAAAUUGACGGUAUUGUAAGAAUAAGCACCGGCUAACUCCGUGCCAGCAGCCGCGGUAAUACGGAGGGUGCAAGCGUUAUCCGGAUUUAUUAGGUUUAAAGGGUUCGCAGGCGGAAUUUUAAGUCAGUGGUGAAAGCCUAUAGCUCAACUAUAGAACUGCCAUUGAAACUGAAAUUCUUGAGUAUAGAUGAAGUGGGCGGAAUAUGUCAUGUAGCGGUGAAAUGCAUAGAUAUGACAUGGAAACACCAAUUGCGAAGGCAGCUCACUAAACUAUUACUGACGCUCAGAACGAAAGCAUGGGGAGCGAACAGGAUUAGAUACCCUGGUAGUCCAUGCCGUAAACUAUGAUCACUAGAUGUUGGGCGA
This 829-nucleotide ribosomal RNA is filed under the name uncultured Flavobacterium sp. Its description in RNAcentral is "bacterial SSU rRNA". It matches the Rfam family "Bacterial small subunit ribosomal RNA", at positions 8 to 830 of the family's 1533-position model. The record is from RNAcentral. Lineage: Bacteria; Pseudomonadati; Bacteroidota; Flavobacteriia; Flavobacteriales; Flavobacteriaceae.